Molecule: long non-coding RNA, 2163 nt
Filed under: Homo sapiens (human)
Lineage: Eukaryota; Metazoa; Chordata; Mammalia; Primates; Hominidae
Description: HSALNT0031199
Source: RNAcentral
GGGCGGCUGAGGUGGGAGGAUCACUUGUGCCCAGGAGGUGGAGGUUGCAGUGAGCCAUGAUCACACCACUGCACUGCAGCCUGGGCAACAGAGUCAGACUCUGUCUCAAAAAAUAGAUAUAUUGAGUUAAGAUAGCUCAUAACAGUCUCUUUGUGAUCUUUGUUGCAUCUAUAUUUGAAAAAAUAGAAGAAAUGGAUAGUUUCCUUAAAAAAACAAUAAUUGAAACACCAGAAUGACGUGAUUUUAUAGGCAAGUUAUACCAAAAUUCUAAUAACAGCUAAUUCCAAACUUGCACAACUUUUUCAAACAAUGAAAAAAUGAGAAUACUUAAAAGGCUAAUUACCAAAACCAAGCAAGUAUUAUAAAGAAAGGAAAAUGACAGGCAUGAGCCACCAUGCCCGGCCUAAAAUUUUUCGUAACACACCUGCUCUACCACAUGUCAAAGCAUAUUUUAAAGCUGAAAUAUUGAGACGAUAUUCAACACAAAAACAGACCAGGAGUAGAUAACUACAUAUAUGUAAAAGUGAUAUAUGACAGGUAGUAUUGUAGAUCACUGGGGAAAUUCAUCAGUAAAUUCAAACUGGAUUCCUAUCUCUUAACCAUAUGUGCACACACACACAAAAAUCAAACCCAGGACUUAGAUGUAAAAGACAAAACCUUUAGAGAACAAAUAUGAAUGAGGUUCCAUGUUUCAAAAGUAAUUUAACUUUUUUGUGGUUUUCAACUUUGUUUUUGCUUCCUCUUCAUUCACUUGAAAAACCAACUUCCUUCAGUAAUAUUCAUUCAACGUCAUUUUUGAUGAGAUUAAUAUUUGCCAGACGCUUUCAAACACCAAGGAUACAGUAGUGAGCAAGACAAGCUCUCUUCCCUCACAGAGCUUACACUGAGGUGGUGACUAUGCAAAGGUACAUAGUAACCAAGUAAACAAGAUGUUUACAGAGUGUGAAAAGUGACAGAGAGUGAGUGAGGAGUGUGGUCAGAGUAGGCCUCUCUAAAGCAGAGACAUUAGAGUUGACACUUAAAAGAUCAGACAAUUGAACAUUUCAAGAGGGAAGGGUGUGCAUAAGAACAGAGGGAGAAAUGUCUUUAUGGGGAGAUGUGAAGUGUGUGUUGUGUGCCUUCAAAACUUCCUUGGGUCUUGUAACACCCACUGCAUUUUUCAAGUCCUUUCUUACUGCCUGCUCCCACCUCUGCUGAGAUAACUGAAAUAGCCUACUUCAUAUUAUUGUUUUUUACUGUCAUCAAAUCUGUCAAUUGUAUGUUUAAUAUUUUCUGCAAUUUUUAUAUAUAAAUUAGCAUGAAAGUUUUAACAUAAAAGCUUAGGAGCAAGCACAAACCUAUCUGUGCCAAAAGAGGGCAAAACAAAAUAAAAGUUCCUAAGAGAAGAUAAGCUACACAUAGUCAUAGUUUCGGCUUCAGCGUUUUGGAAAGUAUACAAGAAUACCCUUCUAGAAAGUCAGCAGGCAAAGUAACGAAUGAGUAUUGGGGAGCAUAGCACUUGAUAUGGUGUAGGCAUGUGGCCAGCCUGUACCGUAGACCAUGUACUGACCAUUCACUGGUCAUGUACCGUGGACCAUGUACAGCAGCAGGAAUUUGCCUUCUAAACUCAAUCUUAAUUACCCCCAGCUCUCAGGAAUGGGUCAGAGAAAACAUGUCUGUAGGAUGAAAUGAGUAUCUUCAGCUGAUCCAAGCUGUAAGGUGUGGCGGAGGACACAUGAAUUUUACCAGGACAUGAUCUAGGCAAGCCAAAUACAGAUAAACUUGGUCAGGUUCAGAUUUAAAAAAUGAAAAAGGAUAAUGGCAGCACGCAUGUUGGUGAUGAUAGCCACCAGUGUACCUGUCUCUUAAGAUUCACUCUAGUAUGAACUGAUUAUAUCUACACCUGGUGCAGCUGUCACCUUUGGAUUUCCCUACACCUCUCUUCCGUGUUGAAUGUCCUGUUUCUUUAUCACUAUGUCUUUCUUUUUCUUAGUUUCCUUAGGUUUGUUUCUUUUUCUUAGUUUCCUUAGGUUUGUUUUGAGGCAGGGUCUUGCUCUGUCGCCCAGGCUGGAGUGCAGUGGUGCAAUCACAGCUCACUGCAGCCUUGACUUCCCUGGGCUCAAGCAUUCCUCCUGCCUCAGCCUCCCAAGUAGCUGGAACAACAGACAUGCGCCACCACACUCG